GAGAUGGAUGUAAAGGUCCAGCUCACGAAUUCCGGACUAUGCGGGUGUAGACCAAGAAGACACCAGGAGGAGAGGCCUACAGUGAACCCAGCCUGAGCGGGCUACAACGGGGGCAGCCAGGCACCUGUCGUAGCGGAGAUGGGUAAUCAUCUGGAGUCUUCGUGACUGAUCCAACCUGAAACGAGUGCCUGUUGGGAGUCUCAGGUCCACCCCAGCUCAGAGGAAGGAGCAGGAAAGCCCAGAUCCCGCCUCGGGUUCUCACCAAGCCAAGCGACCCGGAGCGCUCCCGGAGGCGCCCAGAGGCCGGCCGGCUGGGGGUGGGGCUCGUGCUGUGACGCCGCCCCCCGCCUCGCCCCGCCCCGCGCGCGUUGCCGGGGUGAUCAGGUGACUCGGAGCUCUAGGCGCUCCGGGCAGCGGUGACGUCAGGCUCGCCGCUGCUCCUCUCUCGCUCGGUGGCAGGUGCGGAGCAUCUGGUGCGGUCUCAUCUGGUCGGGUCAGGUCUCUACCAAACCAGUGCCCUACGGAUUCGAGAAGAGGAGAGGUGAUUGGUCCCUGCUCUCAAGGCCUGCAGUCUACUGAGGAAGGCAGGCAGAAGGCCACUAAAUAGAUACAGAAGAUACUUGUCUGUCAAUUGUGGAAAUGGUGAGAAAGAAACAAUGGGCAGGACUGAAGGUUUGUGAGAG
Mustela erminea (ermine) is the source of this 683-nucleotide long non-coding RNA. RefSeq lists it as uncharacterized. NCBI's taxonomy places the organism in Eukaryota, Metazoa, Chordata, Mammalia, Carnivora, Mustelidae. The transcript is spliced from 3 exons. The record is from RefSeq and is a predicted model, not a curated record.